GUCCACGCCGUAAACGAUGAUAACUAGCUGUCCGGGCACUUGGUGCCUGGGUGGCGCAGCUAACGCAUUAAGUUAUCCGCCUGGGGAGUACGGUCGCAAGAUUAAAAACUCAAAGGAAUUGACGGGGGCCUGCACAAGCGGUGGAGCAUGUGGUUUAAUUCGAAGCAACGCGCAGAACCUUACCAGCGUUUGACAUCCCGCGCUAUUUCCAGAGAUGGAAAGUUCCUUUCGGGGACGCGGUGACAGGUGCUGCAUGGCUGUCGU
This 264-nucleotide ribosomal RNA is filed under the name uncultured bacterium. Its description in RNAcentral is "partial 16S ribosomal RNA". It matches the Rfam family "Bacterial small subunit ribosomal RNA", at positions 793 to 1055 of the family's 1533-position model. The record is from RNAcentral.